Molecule: ribosomal RNA, 396 nt
Filed under: Triticum aestivum (bread wheat)
Lineage: Eukaryota; Viridiplantae; Streptophyta; Magnoliopsida; Poales; Poaceae
Description: partial small subunit ribosomal RNA
Source: RNAcentral
AUGCCACUGUACUGGUCAUUAUUCUCAUUCAAUGUACCAUAUUUUUCAGAGCUUGCGUCAACAUUGCAGCUGAGUCGGGGGCUCCAACUAUCGACACGGUGCUUUAGGGAAAAGGUACUCGAUGCAGAAGAGAAGGAAGGAGUUGACAAAGUCUCGGAAUCAACAUCCUGUGAUGGGCUGCUCGCGAGUUUGCAGUACACCGCGGAAAUGCAUCUUAGAAUGUCCUCCGAAAGCUUGCAUGCAAUCCUGGGCACAUAUUCAGCAAUAGAAGCACUCAAGAAAUUUGCAAGACAAGAAUGCCCUGAAGUUGAUCUUGGCAGUCCCUGUGAAUACUUCAAUGAUAUGAAAGCUGCAUCAGAUUAUCUCACUUUGGGAGGUUUCAUCAGAAAAAGCUAA